AAAAAAAUGGGAGAUUGUCGCGGGGCAUGGGCGACCUGACUGCGGCGGCGCCGGUGUUUCAACGUCGGGCUAGCGACGGAUGGACGCCAAGGGUAUGGAGUUCCUCCUUGACGCGGUUGACAGAUUUCGUGCGGAAUCUCCGACGAGUCUGCUCAAUUGACUGACAAGGUGAAUCCCCAAGCCCCGUGCUGGACAAAAAGGCUCCGGCACGGAAGUGCGCCACCAGACCGAGUGCCAUGCCCAUCGAGGAUGAGCGCUCUCGAGCUUUCAAUCCGCAAAUAUGCAGAGCAGCCUGACAAGAGCGUCGUUAGACCUGAGCCUAGGUCUCAGUUUCGAUUCAUUGGACUCAGUACCAGAAAGAUAAUUCACUUAACCUGUCGUUCACAUGUAGGCACUCGACACUUGCAUGAAAGCCCUGGAGGUAGUGAGGAUGGGUGAUGCGAGUGCAGAAGUGUUGAUCAGAUGUUUGGUGGUCUAGAAGCUUUACUGGUGAGUGGUGCACCUUUAGCCGAGAGGAGAGAUGGUUUGGGUUUUGAGGACCGCAUAUCCAGCUUAACUCCGGGUACAUUACUUGGCAAUGGAGAAAUUGCAUAUGUUGAUGACGAAGGUGCUGAUAUAUGCAUUAAUACUAGAAGCUCUGUUAGUGUGAAUGCUCUCCAUGGCCUAACGGCUCUAGAAAAAGCAAAUGAGUGUUGGGAGACCAACAAAUAGCAGAGAGAAAGCACCGUGCGAGGGUUUGAGUAAGCGGACCAGAUUAUGCAACAUAUGCCGUCGAGAGGUUUGGUUUGAGUAAGUGGACCAGAUUCUGCAGCAUACGCCGUCGAGAGGUUUGGUUUGAGUAAGAGGACCAGAUUCUGCAGCAUAUGCCGUCGAGAGGGGCACAAACGCACUACAUGCCCGGAAAGAGGGCUGCUCUGAAGAAACCCUUGAGCCUGGAAAAUGCAAGAAUUUCGGUGUGGAAGGGCACCGCCGGAACACGCGCGCAAGGCGUCUUGCUGUUGCUGAAAAAUGCGUCUUGCUGUUGCUGAAAAAUGAAGUAUGAACUUUGAAUUUGUACUCUGUAUUUUUGUUGCUCCGAGGAUUUUCUAGUGUAUUUCUGUGAGCAUUCCUCCACGCUUGUUCCUGACUUUCGAGAGGCAUGUUACAGACCUUUGAGCACAACUAUG
This is a long non-coding RNA of Triticum aestivum (bread wheat), 1166 nucleotides long. RefSeq lists it as uncharacterized. NCBI's taxonomy places the organism in Eukaryota, Viridiplantae, Streptophyta, Magnoliopsida, Poales, Poaceae. The transcript is spliced from 3 exons. The record is from RefSeq and is a predicted model, not a curated record.